RNAcentral lists this ribosomal RNA (468 nucleotides) under uncultured bacterium. RNAcentral describes it as "partial 16S ribosomal RNA". It matches the Rfam family "Bacterial small subunit ribosomal RNA", at positions 28 to 507 of the family's 1533-position model. The record is from RNAcentral.
GAUGAACGCUGGCGGCGUGCUUAACACAUGCAAGUCGAACGGUGGAGGCGGAGCUUGCUCUGCUGGAUCAGUGGCGAACGUGUGUGUAACACGUGAGCAAUCUGCCCCUGACUCGGGGAUAAGCCCUGGAAACGGCGUCUAAUACUGGAUACGAGCUGCGAAGGCAUCUUCAGCAGCUGGAAAGAACUUCGGUCAGGGAUGAGCUCGCGGCCUAUCAGCUAGUUGGUGAGGUAACGGCUCACCCAGGCCUCGACGGAUAGCCGGCCUGAGAGGGUGGCCGGCGCCAAUGGGACUGAGAGACGGCCCAGACUCGAACGGGGGGCAACAGUGGGAAAUCUUACACAGUGGGGGCAAGCGUGAGGCAGAGACGCCGGGUGAGGGAAGACGGCCUUCGGGUUGUAAACCUGUUUUGGCUGAGAAGAAGCGAGAGUGACGGUACCUGAAGAAAAAGCACCGGCUAACUACGUG